UCGAAACAUCGUCUGCUGGUGUAGAAUGCAACAACUCACUCCAAAAAGAAUUUCAAUGAACUGCCAUUUGAAAUGCAAAUCGGAGACAUCUUACGUCAACAACAGGCGCGAAUCUAGCACCUGGCGAGCACCCGCGGCUGCCCGUGCUGGAUUCUUCGAAAUGUUCAGCACCGACGGGUGCUGGAGGUUUGCAGGCUUACAAUUUGCAGAGAUGGAGGAAGAGGUGAUGAGUGAUUUACACUCAUUAUAUUAUGCCAUUAAUUUCAUGAUUUUGCUAUCUUGGAGAGUAUUUUAGAAGUGCUAACAGGUGAUUUUGGUGUUGUUUUGUAGAUUGAUGGAAAUGGAGAAAACUAGAGCUAAAAGAGGUCAAAUGAAGGAAAUAGGCAAGAGCUAGCGAAAUUGGAUGAAAUGACCAAAACGUAAGAGAUCCAAAGUUCGAGGAUUAAAAUACAAUUAAUCAAAAGUCGUGUCGAAACUUGAAAUGAAGAUCCGAGAGUUCUAGAAGCCAAUUGGACAAAGGAAGGUGUCAAAGUGAUCAAAUUUAGUCAAGAUAUGAUCAUAAAUCAUCUUCCAACCAAAAAGUUUUGCGCCGGAGUUUUCGUCUCACAUUUAGACUCAUUUUUGACAUAGAAAACGAUCGAAUUGGAGAAUGAUUCCUGAAGGAAAAUUGUAGUCCUUUGAAUUAGCUUUCCAACGCAUCUUGAAUUACUUCAAUCGGAUAUUGAACAAAAAAGUUAUGAUAAAAAUACUGAAAGCUG
RNAcentral lists this long non-coding RNA (758 nucleotides) under Olea europaea subsp. europaea. The record is from RNAcentral. Lineage: Eukaryota; Viridiplantae; Streptophyta; Magnoliopsida; Lamiales; Oleaceae.